GCGUCAAAGCAUUCUUACCAAAAAAUCCAAAACAAACAACAACAUUUCCUGACCUUCCUACUGAGCAACUCUAUCCUACGAUAGAAGAACUAAUGCUAAAACUAGUAAUAAGAAUAUUACUCUCCUUGCACCCCCCUCAAUCAGAAAUAGAUAAACUACUGAACAUUAACAAACUUCAAAAAGAAACAAACCACCACCAAGAAAAAAUUUCCACAAUUUGUGACACCAACACAGGAGUGCUAAAAAGACAGAUUAAAAGCCCAACAAGGAAUUCAGCUAAUAGAUUUCAACUGUUUACCAAAAACAUAGCCUUUAGCACCAUAAGUAUUAAAGGUCUUGCCUGCCCAGUGACUAUUUUAACGGCCGCGGUAUCCUAACCGUGCAAAGGUAGCGUAAUCAUUUGUCUCCUAAAUAGAGACUUGUAUGAAUGGCUAACUGAAAAUCUAACUGUCUCCUAAGGCCAAUCAAUGAAACUGAUCUCUCAGUACAAAAGCUGAAAUAAACCCAUAAGACGAGAAGACCCUGUGGAGCUUAAAAUACGCACUAUCUUUUACCUCAUAAAAACCACGGAAACAAUCCUAUAAAUAUAGUGAUUUCUUUUAGUUGGGGCGACUUUGGAAUAAAAAAAAACUUCCAUGAAAGGGCCCACCCUACCAAGGCCAACCAGCCAAAAUAAUUUAUUUUUUUGACCCAGAUAUCUGAUCAAC
RNAcentral lists this ribosomal RNA (707 nucleotides) under Paradelma orientalis (Brigalow scaly-foot). RNAcentral's name for it is "partial 16S ribosomal RNA". The stretch from base 277 to 446 matches the Rfam family "Archaeal large subunit ribosomal RNA", at positions 1878 to 2091 of the family's 2987-position model. The record is from RNAcentral. Lineage: Eukaryota; Metazoa; Chordata; Lepidosauria; Squamata; Pygopodidae.